AGCCCAGAUAGCUCAGUCGGUAAAGCGCAAGGCUUUUAACCUUGUGGUCGGGGGUUCGAGCCCCCCUUCUA
This 71-nucleotide transfer RNA is filed under the name Dictyostelium discoideum AX4. Its description in RNAcentral is "lysine transfer RNA". The stretch from base 8 to 67 matches the Rfam family "tRNA", at positions 7 to 64 of the family's 71-position model. From Rfam's summary of the family: Transfer RNA (tRNA) molecules are approximately 80 nucleotides in length. Their secondary structure includes four short double-helical elements and three loops (D, anti-codon, and T loops). Further hydrogen bonds mediate the characteristic L-shaped molecular structure. tRNAs have two regions of fundamental functional importance: the anti-codon, which is responsible for specific mRNA codon recognition, and the 3' end, to which the tRNAs corresponding amino acid is attached (by aminoacyl-tRNA synthetases). tRNAs cope with the degeneracy of the genetic code in two manners: having more than one tRNA (with a specific anti-codon) for a particular amino acid; and 'wobble' base-pairing, i.e. permitting non-standard base-pairing at the 3rd anti-codon position. The record is from RNAcentral. Lineage: Eukaryota; Evosea; Eumycetozoa; Dictyosteliales; Dictyosteliaceae.